Molecule: ribosomal RNA, 484 nt
Filed under: uncultured bacterium
Lineage: Bacteria
Description: partial 16S ribosomal RNA
Rfam family: Bacterial small subunit ribosomal RNA
Source: RNAcentral
AUUGAACGCUGGCGGCAUGCUUUACACAUGCAAGUCGAACGGCAGCGCGGGCUUCGGCCUGGCGGCGAGUGGCGAACGGGUGAGUAAUACAUCGGAACGUGCCCAGCAGUGGGGGAUAGCUCGGCGAAAGCCGGAUUAAUACCGCAUACGACCUGAGGGUGAAAGCGGGGGAUCUUCGGACCUCGCGCUAUUGGAGCGGCCGAUGGCAGAGUAGCUAGUUGGUGGGGUAAAGGCCUACCAAGGCGACGAUCUGUAGCUGGUCUGAGAGGACGACCAGCCACACUGGGACUGAGACACGGCCCAGACUCCUACGGGAGGCAGCAGUGGGGAAUUUUGGGCAAUGGGCGAAAGCCUGAUCCAGCAAUGCCGCGUGUGUGAUGAAGGCCUUCGGGUUGUAAAGCACUUUUGGCGGGAACGAAAAGGACUGUGCCAAUACCACGGUUCGAUGACGGUACCCGCAGAAUAAGCACCGGCUAACUACGUG